GACGAACGCUGGCGGCGUGCCUAAUACAUGCAAGUCGAACGCUUCUUUCCUCCCGAGUGCUUGCCCUCAAUUGGAAAGAGGAGUGGCGGACGGGUGAGUAACACGUGUGUAACCUACCCAUCAGAGGGGGAUAACACUUGGAAACAGGUGCUAAUACCGCAUAACAGUUUAUGCCGCAUGGCAUAAGAGUGAAAGGCGCUUUCGGGUGUCGCUGAUGGAUGGACCCGCGGUGCAUUAGCUAGUUGGUGAGGUAACGGCUCACCAAGGCCACGAUGCAUAGCCGACCUGAGAGGGGGAUCGGCCACACUGGGACUGAGACACGGCCCAGACGCCGAAGGGAGGCAGCAGUAGGGAAUCUUCGGCAAUGGACGAAAGUCUGACCGAGCAACGCCGCGUGAGUGAAGAAGGUUUUCGGAUCGUAAAACUCUGUUGUUAGAGAAGAACAAGGACGUUAGUAACUGAACGUCCCCUGACGGUAUCUAACCAGAAAGCCACGGCUAACUACGUG
Molecule: ribosomal RNA, 508 nt
Filed under: uncultured bacterium
Lineage: Bacteria
Description: partial 16S ribosomal RNA
Rfam family: Bacterial small subunit ribosomal RNA
Source: RNAcentral